This is a long non-coding RNA of Macaca fascicularis (crab-eating macaque), 1552 nucleotides long. Lineage: Eukaryota; Metazoa; Chordata; Mammalia; Primates; Cercopithecidae. The record is from Ensembl.
UUUUUUUUUUUUUUUUUGAGACAGAGUCUCGCUCUGCCGCCCAGGCUGGAGUGCAGUGGCGUGAUCUUGGCUCACUGCAAGCUCCGCCUCCCGGGUUCACGCCAUUCUCCUGCCUCAGCCUCCCGAGUAGCUGGGACUACAGGCGCCCACCACCUCGCCCGGCUAGUUUUUUGUAUUUUUUAGUAGAGACGGGGUUUCACUGUGUCAGCCAGGAUGGUCUCGAUCUCCUGACCUCGUGAUCCGCCCGUCUCGGCCUCCCAAAGUGCUGGGAUUACAGGCUUGAGCCACCGCGCCCAGCCGAGUCAAGUUCUUUAGGGUUGAUUUGUGGUAGGCAAAGCCACCCUAAGGUGCUGCUAGUCCUAUGGCUGCCCUGAUUCCCACCAGAACCAAUCCUAUUGCUUGUUAACUUCUGGUGUUCCUGGGCCUUAUUGGGUUAUAGACUGUGACCCUUGGAGGGGCAAGGGUGGCCAACAUACAUUUAUCUUUGUUCCAAGUUUUAGAUAUAUAAGGGAAAGCUACUCCUGAAAGAACAGAUGGCUCCCUGGGGAGCCAGGAGUAGUUACAGCAGGUGACUUCUCAUUCAUGGCCACAAACAAAAAUGAGUCCAGUUGGAGCAUAAAUAGAGGCCCUACAGGGUGUGAUGUCUAUCCUUUGCUGCCAAGUUUGGUCUAUAGAGAUAUUCUUCCCCUGUUCCAAUGGGGGUGGUCAAACAAACCUUGUUUUCCAGAAGCAAACCCUCCUAGAUUAGGCAGUGGUUUUUUUCCCUGUAUGUUCUAGUCUGAGAGAAGACACCAUAUAUGGUCUCCUUGCCUACAAGCGGCAUAUAUGGUCUCCUUGCCAUUUACCUUGCUUUUGCCUUGGAAAUUUGGUAACUAUAGUUAGAUCAGAGCAUCACAAGGAAACGUCUGCUUUUGUGUCAUUAACACAGUAGUGGAUGCAAAAGAAUCGUUAAUGCACUGGAGAUAUACUCAACUUUUCAAGUCCAGGUAUAAUGGCAAGUGUGGAAGGGGACGUUCAGGUGGAAUCCAUUAAGUGGAGGAGAGUUCCACUGAAUAAGUAGGGGUUUAGGUACUUUGGGAUUGCUAUGGUUAGUUAGAAGUACUGGAUAGAUGGCUGUGAGAUCUUCCAGAUAGGCCAGAAGAUGGAACUCUAGAUCCUGGGGAUGUUGAUGACAAGUCCAGCAACCAUGAAGAUGAUUCCCUGACACUAUGAUUUUUGAAAUGUUUACUAUAGAGGUUUGAUCUAAUUAGAACAAUUUGAGGAUUUCUGUCUAAACUUUCACCUAGUGAGAGCUUUAUGUCCCUAAUGAUAGAUAUUCAUGGCACUGUAUAGAGGGAUAUUUCACCCUGAGUGAAUGCUCUUCUCCCUCUCCAUUUGGGUUGUGUUUUUCCUCCAUGUAAAAACUCAGGACUGCUCAAUGAAUCUAGACAGUUCCAUUAUGAGACAGGUUAAUUUUCUUCUUCUGGAAGGCAUACAAUGGGGACAACCUAUUAAUCCCCAAACCUCUCUUUCUAACUUCUUCCUGGAAAGAAUUUGGAGUCAGAGUUCUUAU